GUGAAUCAUCGAAUCUUUGAACGCAUCUUGCACUUUUCAGGUCUCCUGAAAAGUAUACUUGUUUGAGUAUCAUUAACAUUAACUCCAAGUUAACUCUUGGGAAUUGGAACGUCAAGCUGCGAGAGUAGCAUGUGUUCUUUAAUUGAUACGUGGAGUGAUUCUUGCGUGUGUGUGUGCAAACACAACACACCUGGAAGCCUAACAAUCAAAUGUGAGAUAAACAUCGCACAAAGUAGUUGACAGGUCAAGCUCUGCUACGCCUAGAAGCUUCGGCUUCACCUCGUAUCUGUGAUCUCAAAU
RNAcentral lists this unclassified non-coding RNA (300 nucleotides) under uncultured fungus. Its description in RNAcentral is "sequence contains 5.8S rRNA gene, ITS2". The stretch from base 1 to 72 matches the Rfam family "5.8S ribosomal RNA", at positions 84 to 154 of the family's 154-position model. The record is from RNAcentral. Lineage: Eukaryota; Fungi.